RNAcentral lists this long non-coding RNA (936 nucleotides) under Homo sapiens (human). RNAcentral describes it as "HSALNT0054564". The record is from RNAcentral. Lineage: Eukaryota; Metazoa; Chordata; Mammalia; Primates; Hominidae.
CAACAAUAGGCAGGUGUAUGCAUAAAUCACUCUAGGGACUUCCCCUAAUAGAACCAAAUCUUUCUACAGGUGAAUUUUGGGGUACCAUGAAUCUCAGAGGUUGUUGUGCGGGCAUGACAUCAUCCAAGUAGUCAGGGAAUUUCUAGAAGGGUGGGGAAACAGAUGUUACAGAAGGACAAUGCCAUCCUGGGAGGAGGGAAUGGAAGAGGCUUCCAUCACCAGGGGAGCUAGCUCUGGCCUUUGUGGCUCCUACUUUAGUGACAUGAGAAAGUCUCUGGGGCUUUCAUGUGAACCUGUUUCAACUCCUGAGGCCAAAUAUGCUCUAUGUGUCACCCGGAGAGUCCCAGCUAAGAGGCCAAAUGAGUAAAAUGCAAGACAUGAAGCUGGGAGGGGUCGGAAUGCUGAUCUGACCUCAGGCUGCUGGAGAGAAGUUAACUAGCUUUUUAAAAUUUUUAUUUAUUUUUUUAAGAGAUAGUGUCUUGCUAUAUUGCCCAAGCUGAACUUGACUUCCUGGGCUCAAGUGAGCCUCCUGCCUCAGCCUUCUGAGAAGCUGGGACUACAGAAAUGUGCCACUGCACUUGGCUGGAACCAGCUUUUGAGGCAUUCUUUGCCUCUGAAGAACCUAGGAUGAAGUUCCUCUUACCUGAGGAAGCGGAGAAGCUUCCAGAGGCUUUGACUGUGCUGCUUUCUAACCCAUGAGCCUGCUGUUUCCAGAAGGAACACUCUAUUAGUCUGUUCUCACACUGCUAUAAAUAAAUGCCUGGCACUGGAUAAUUUAUAAAGAAGAGGUUUAAUUGGCUCAUGGCUGUACAGAAAGCAUGAUGCUGGCAUCUGCUGGGCUUCAGGGGAGGACUCAGAAAACUUACAUUCAUGGUGGAAGGCGAAGGGGGAGCGAGCACCUCACAAGGCUGGAGUAGGAGGAAAAGAGAAGUGGGG